Zonotrichia albicollis (white-throated sparrow) is the source of this 1880-nucleotide long non-coding RNA. Lineage: Eukaryota; Metazoa; Chordata; Aves; Passeriformes; Passerellidae. The record is from Ensembl.
GGUACUGGUGAUACUGGGAGCGCUGGGAGGUGACGUCAUCGUUAUACUGGGAGCGCUGGGAGAUGACGUCAUGGUGGUACUGGUCAUACUGGGAGCCGCCAUGUUGGUACUGGGAGCACUAGGAGCCGCCAUGUUGGUACUGGGAGCGGCCAUGUUGGUACUGGUGAUACUGGGAGCACUGGGAGAUGACGUCAUGGACAUACUGGACGUACUGGGAGCCGCCAUGUUGAUACUGGGAGUACUGGGAGAUGACGUCAUGGUCGUACUGGUCAAACUGGGAGCACUGGGAGCCGACGCCAUGUUGGUGCUGGUUAUACUGGUCAUACCGGGAGAUGACGUCAUGGUUGUACUGGUCAUACUGGGAACCGCCAUGUUGGUACUGGUCAUACUGGGAGCCGCCAUGCUGGUACUGGGAGCACUGGGAGAUGACGUCACAGGCGUACUGGUUAAACUGGUCAGACUGGGAGCCAUACUGGUCAAACUGGGAGCACUGGUCAAACUGGGAGCAGCCAUACUGGUCACACCGGUGGCCUUGGUGACACUGGCACUGGUAGCACUGGUGACACCGGUGACACUGGAACUGGUCAAACUGGUGACACUGGGAGCGGUGACAUUGCUCAAACUGGUGACACUGGAACUGGUGACAUUGGUGACACUGGAACUGGUCAAACUGGUGACACUGGGAGCCGUUGCCAUGGUGACACUGGUCAUACUGGUGGCACUGGCAGUGGCCUUGGUGACACCAGGGGUGACGGUGACACCAGCAGCGCUCAUACUGGUGGCACUGGUGACACUGGAACUGGUGACAAUGGUGACACUGGGAGCCGUUGCCAUGGUGNCAACAAAAUGGGCGUGUCCUUAUCAGGUGGGUGGAGCCUAGUUCUAGAAAAAUAAUUUAUAACAUUUGCAUUAAGGGGCGGGGCUUCACCAAUGGGCGUGGCCUAUGUUAGGAAGCGAAUUCCUCCAAUUUACACUACAGGGGGUGGAGUUACACCUAGUGGGCGUGUCCAGUGACAAAGUGGGUGUGUCCUUACCCGAUGGGCGUGGCCUAAUUUUCAAAACGAAAUUCCUUCAUUCUGAAUGGGGUGGGGCCUCAAGUAGUGGGCGGGGCCUAACUUUAGGAAAGGAAUUCUUCCUAUCCAGAUUAGGGGGUGGGGCUUAAUUAAGUGGGCGUGGCUUUAGUGAGGAAACUGAUUCCCCCUUAUCUGCAUAUGGGGGUGGGGCUUAACUUGGUGGGCGUGGCCUAUUAUGGGAAUGGAAUUCCUCCAAACUAUACAGGAGGGUGGGGCUUAACCCAGUGGGCGUGUCCACGGGCAGAGGGGGCGUGUCCUUACCCGGUGGGCGUGGCCUAAUUUUCCAAAAUGAAUUUCCUUCAAUCUGAAUGGGGUGGGGCCUCAAGUAGUGGGCGGGGCCUAGCUUUAGGAAAGGAAUUAAUCUAAUCCACAUGAGGGGGGUGGGGCUUAAUUAAGUGGGCGCGGCUUUAGUCAGGGAGGUGAUUCCCUCUUAUCUGCAUGUGAAGGCGGGGCUUAAUUUGGUGGGCGUGGCCUAAUACAGGAAUGGAAUUUUUUCAAACUGUACAGGAGGGUGGAGCUUAACCCAGUGGGCGUGUCCACGGGCAGAGGGGGCGUGUCCUUACCCGGUGGGCGGGGCCUAAUUUUCAAAACGAAUUUCCUUCAAUUAGAAUGGGGUGGGGCCUCAAGUAGUGGGCGGGGCCUAACUUUAGGAAAGGAAUUCUUCCUAUCCCGAUAAGGGGGUGGGGCUUAAUUAAGUGGGCGUGGCUUUAGUCAGGGAAGUGAUUCUCCCUUAUCUGCAUGUGGGAGUGGGGCUUAAUUUGGUGGGUGUGGCCUAAUACAGGAAUGAAAUUCCUUCAAACUAUACAG